Molecule: transfer RNA, 68 nt
Filed under: Phyllodactylus homolepidurus
Lineage: Eukaryota; Metazoa; Chordata; Lepidosauria; Squamata; Phyllodactylidae
Description: tRNA-Trp
Source: RNAcentral
AGGCACUUAGGUUAACCAAAACCAGGAGCCUUCAAAGCUCCAWAUAGAAGCAAAUCUCCUAGUGCCUG